This 1453-nucleotide long non-coding RNA is filed under the name Cyanistes caeruleus (blue tit). RNAcentral's name for it is "lncRNA (ENSCCEG00000015220.1)". Lineage: Eukaryota; Metazoa; Chordata; Aves; Passeriformes; Paridae. The record is from RNAcentral.
CUUUUUCUUUCUUGUUACUACAAAUAAAAGUGGAAAGAAAUUCUUUAUGCUUUCAUUAAUAUUUAUACAGAUAAAAUUUCGUAGAUCAGAUGUUGGUUUUUGGUUUUUUUUUUUUACACGUAAAAGUCCGGAAAAUAUCAUCCAGUUGACGUCAACUUCAUUAAAAAACUGCAAAGUCAUCCCCCAAACUGACUGAUUCUUUAUUGUCUGUGAUGAGUACCAAGGAACAAAUAUUAGCCUUAUAAUGAAAAUUCAAUCACAUCCUUAACUACUCACAGACUACCACUCUGCUCCACAAGGUACAGGUGAGCAUAAUUGACAAGAUGGAUCGAAUGAUCCAAUAGAUUUAACUUGUGCAAGUUUUUAUGGCAAAGACUUUGUUUCGGCUUAACUCAGUAUCGUACCACAUUUAUCCAUGGAGCUAGAGAAACACUAGGAAAAAAAAAAGAAAGCACAGAUCAACUGAACUUCCCUCCUAGAAAGAAGACACCUUUAUACUAAACAGCAAUAAAAGAACAGAGAGAAGACUGGGACCCAUCACACAGAGAACAUCUUUUAUGUAUGGGGGAAGAUGGGGCUGGAACUUCUUUUGUCUUCAUUUUCAUUGUGUAGACAGUUGGAUCAAUGAAGUUCUCACUUUCACUGUGUUGCCUUACAUGGUACAGAGAAGAAAACAGAAGUCCUGCUGGGACACAAUCAGAGAAACAACUAUAAUUUCAAGAGGCAAGAAAUGAACCAGAAUCUCAGAAAAGCUUCAACUGUCCAGAGUUGUCCAGAGUUUCUGCUGAUCCUUCCUAAAAUAUACACGAGAGCACACUGUAGGGCAAGUCCCUCUGGUUGCCUGCUAAGCUGAAGAGGGGUGUCAAGCAUCACUGCACAUAACAAAACAAUGUGCAGUGCUAGGACAAGCACUGCUGGAACAGAAAGGAGAUCUUUGUACUAUUUUCUCUAACAGUGCUUAGGAACACCUGGUUCUGGAAACUAAACAUCAAUUUGUUUAUGUCAGGUUUGAGGGAACAUAUACCUGAAGUGUUUAUAUGGCCUGUCUAAAUCUUACCCUGACUGCAGUAAUGGCAGGUGUUAUCCUUGUCACAUGAAAUAUUAUCACUAAACUACUUGCUUCUGAAACUCCUCCAACUUUCCAAAUUUUAUUAUAACAAAUUGUAUAUCUAAAAUAUUAUGCCUUUGGUACUCCUUUAUUUCAAGAGGAGCACACAGUUUCCAUAAUAAGAGGAAAGUAGCACAACAGGUUCCAGGACAUUUCAUAAUCAAACCUGCUCUAGAUGUAGCUUACAGAGAUGUAAAGAUUGAGGUUUAGCACCUGCUGGUCAUCAGUCCCCAGAAAACUGAGAAGUGGAUUCUUCGAGGCAUCCAAAGAUUCCCUGCCCUAUUUAUAUCUCAUAUGAGCCACAUACAACCACCUAAUAAAAGCUGAUCACACCCCUGUUUUACA